UACGUAGGCAGCGAGCGUUGUUCGGAGUUACUGGGCGUAAAGAGUGCGUAGGCGGUGUUCUAAGUCUGUUGUGAAAUCUCCCGGCUCAACUGGGAGGGUGCGGCGGAAACUGGGACGCUGGAGUACGGGAGAGGUAAGCGGAAUUCCUGGUGUAGCGGUGAAAUGCGUAGAUAUCAGGAGGAACACCUGCGGUGUAGACGGCUUACUGGACCGUAACUGACGCUGAGGCACGAAAGCGUGGGUAGCAAACAGG
Molecule: ribosomal RNA, 253 nt
Filed under: uncultured bacterium
Lineage: Bacteria
Description: partial 16S ribosomal RNA
Rfam family: Bacterial small subunit ribosomal RNA
Source: RNAcentral